GACGAACGCUGGCGGCGUGCUUAACACAUGCAAGUCGAACGGGAAGGCCCCUUUGGGGGUACUCGCGUGGCGAACGGGCGUAUAAAACUUGAGUAACCUGCCCUUCACUUCCGGAUAACUUCAGGUAACAGGGCCUAAUACCGGGUAGGAAACCUUGCAGCCUGGUGGGGGUUGGAUAGCUUCGGCGGUUUUGGAUGGAGGGGCGGCAUCUUACCUAGUUGGUGGGGUAGUGGCUUACCAAGGGUUUGACGGGUAGCCGGCCUGAGAGGGCGACCGGCCACAUUGGGACUGAGAUACGGCCCAGACUCCUACGGGAGGCAGCAGUGGGGAAUAUUGCACAAGGGGCGGGAGCCUGAUGCAGCAACGACGCCUGCGGGAUGACGGCCGUCGGGUUGUAAGCCGCUUUCAGCAGGGGCGAAGCUUGUGAUGACGGUACCUGCAGAAGAAGCACCGGCUAACUACGUG
This 465-nucleotide ribosomal RNA is filed under the name uncultured bacterium. Its description in RNAcentral is "partial 16S ribosomal RNA". It matches the Rfam family "Bacterial small subunit ribosomal RNA", at positions 28 to 507 of the family's 1533-position model. The record is from RNAcentral.